GCAGUGGUGGUUCAGUGGUAGGAUCUUUGCCUUCCAUGCAGGAGACCUGGGUUCAACUCCCACCCAACGCA
Molecule: transfer RNA, 71 nt
Filed under: Loxodonta africana (African savanna elephant)
Lineage: Eukaryota; Metazoa; Chordata; Mammalia; Proboscidea; Elephantidae
Rfam family: tRNA
About the family: Transfer RNA (tRNA) molecules are approximately 80 nucleotides in length.
Source: Rfam by way of RNAcentral